Molecule: ribosomal RNA, 489 nt
Filed under: uncultured bacterium
Lineage: Bacteria
Description: partial 16S ribosomal RNA
Rfam family: Bacterial small subunit ribosomal RNA
Source: RNAcentral
AUUGAACGCUGGCGGCAGGCCUAACACAUGCAAGUCGAACGGUAACAGGAAGCAGCUUGCUGCUUUGCUGACGAGUGGCGGACGGGUGAGUAAUGUCUGGGAAACUGCCUGAUGGAGGGGGAUAACUACUGGAAACGGUAGCUAAUACCGCAUAACGUCGCAAGACCAAAGAGGGGGACCUUCGGGCCUCUUGCCAUCGGAUGUGCCCAGAUGGGAUUAGCUAGUAGGUGGGGUAACGGCUCACCUAGGCGACGAUCCCUAGCUGGUCUGAGAGGAUGACCGGCCACACGGGAAAUAGGAAAGGGUCCAAACCCCCAGGGGGGGGAGGGGGGGGGAAUUUUGCCAAAGGGGGGAAAGCCUGAUGCAGCCAGGCCGGGGGUAUGAAGAAGGCCUUGGGGUUGUAAAGUACUUUCGGGGGGGGGGAAGGGAGAAAAGUUAAUCCCUUUGCCCAUUGACGUUACCCGCAGAAGAAGCCCCGGCUAAACCCGU